GAGGAUUUGGCUUAGUUGGUAGAGUGCUUGCCUUGCAUGCACAAGGCCCUGGGUUUAAUCCCCAGGCCUCA
Molecule: transfer RNA, 71 nt
Filed under: Ictidomys tridecemlineatus (thirteen-lined ground squirrel)
Lineage: Eukaryota; Metazoa; Chordata; Mammalia; Rodentia; Sciuridae
Description: Spermophilus tridecemlineatus (thirteen-lined ground squirrel) tRNA
Rfam family: tRNA
About the family: Transfer RNA (tRNA) molecules are approximately 80 nucleotides in length.
Source: Rfam by way of RNAcentral